This 843-nucleotide non-coding RNA is filed under the name Ambassis interrupta (long-spined glass perchlet). Its description in RNAcentral is "partial small subunit ribosomal RNA". It matches the Rfam family "Bacterial small subunit ribosomal RNA". The record is from RNAcentral. Lineage: Eukaryota; Metazoa; Chordata; Actinopteri; Ambassidae.
CAAAGGCUUAGUCCUGGCUUUAACAUCAGCUUUAAUCACACUUACACAUGCAAGUCUCCGCACCCCUGUGCAAAUGCCCUUUUCUUUCCUCCCGAAAACAAGGAGCUGGUAUCAGGCACAAAUACAUUUAGCCCACGACACCUUGCUUAGCCACACCCCCAAGGGGCUCCAGCAGUGAUAGACAUUAAGCCAUAAGUGAAAACUUGACUUAGUUAAGAUUACUAGAGUCGGUCAAGCUCGUGCCAGCCACCGCGGCUAUACGGGCGACUCAAGUUGAUGAACACCGGCGUAAAGCGUGGUUAGGAAAAUUAUAGACUAAAGCCGAAUACUCCCCCUGCUGUCAUACGCACUCGAGAGAAAGAAGCCCAAUUACGAAAGUAGCUUUACCCUUUCCGACCCCACGAAAGCUGUGGAACAAACUGGGAUUAGAUACCCCACUAUGCACAGCAGUAAACUUAGAUAAAAAUUUACACUUCUUAUCCGCCCGGGAACUACGAGCAUUAGCUUAAAACCCAAAGGACUUGGCGGUGCUUAACAUCCACCUAGAGGAGCCUGUUCUAUAACCGAUAACCCCCGUUAAACCUCACCUUCCCUUGCAAUUUCCGCCUAUAUACCGCCGUCGUCAGCCUACCCUAUGAAGGCCCCACAGUUAGCAAAAAUGGUAAACCCUAAAACGCCAGGUCGAGGUGUAGCAUAUGAGAAGGGCAGAAAUGGGCUACACUCCUUAUCUAUAAGGAAUACGAACAAUGUGUUGAAAUACAUGUCAUGAAGGAGGAUUUAGUAGUAAGCAGGAAAUAGAGUGUUCUGCUGAAUCUGGCCCUAAAGCGCGCACACACCGCCCGU